UACACUCCUGCGGGAGGCAGCAGUAGGGAAUCUUCGGCAAUGGGGGCAACCCUGACCGAGCAACGCCGCGUGAGUGAAGAAGGUUUUCGGAUCGUAAAGCUCUGUUGUAAGUCAAGAACGAGUGUGAGAGUGGAAAGUUCACACUGUGACGGUAGCUUACCAGAAAGGGACGGCUAACUACGUGCCAGCAGCCGCGGUAAUACGUAGGUCCCGAGCGUUGUCCGGAUUUAUUGGGCGUAAAGCGAGCGCAGGCGGUUUGAUAAGUCUGAAGUUAAAGGCUGUGGCUCAACCAUAGUUCGCUUUGGAAACUGUCAAACUUGAGUGCAGAAGGGGAGAGUGGAAUUCCAUGUGUAGCGGUGAAAUGCGUAGAUAUAUGGAGGAACACCGGUGGCGAAAGCGGCUCUCUGGUCUGUAACUGACGCUGAGGCUCGAAAGCGUGGGGAGCGAACAGGAUUAGAAACCCCUGUAGUUCCAUGAU
Molecule: ribosomal RNA, 478 nt
Filed under: uncultured organism
Description: partial 16S ribosomal RNA
Rfam family: Bacterial small subunit ribosomal RNA
Source: RNAcentral